AAAAUACUGCAAUUAUUAUGAACCUUUUUGUGCAAUAUGUAGGGAAAUGGCUUCAUUGACAGAAACCUAUUUCUUGAUAUUAAUAACCCUCUAUAUUUUCAGCUAAUCCAAAAGUAAAUGAGGAACUUAGGAAAAGAUUGCCAACUUCAAAUCAAGAGUUACACAGAAUUGAAGAAGAAGCAUACAGCUUCAUUUGAGGGAUUCUUUUAAGAGACUCAGUGUUCUGCGAUAUGAGCUCUGAAACCUUCAAGCAAAAAAUGGACUCAGUGCCAGAUCAAACAAGUUCAGAGGAACAAAUGGAGAACUGGUCAAAAGAAACACACAUCUUGGAUCAGAAAAAAGAAGACUUUUGUGCUGAACUUCAGUUUUAUAGGAAUUCUCAGAAACGCUCAGAAUUUUUUAUCCAGGCAGAAACCAAAGCCCCGAAACUUUCAGAUUUGCGAGCAGAUAGUCAAAGAGGAGGAAUCCUAACUGACUGUAAUUCUGAUUCUGAAGAAUCAA
RNAcentral lists this long non-coding RNA (501 nucleotides) under Serinus canaria (Common canary). RNAcentral's name for it is "lncRNA (ENSSCAG00000010405.1)". Lineage: Eukaryota; Metazoa; Chordata; Aves; Passeriformes; Fringillidae. The record is from RNAcentral.